Molecule: ribosomal RNA, 205 nt
Filed under: uncultured bacterium
Lineage: Bacteria
Description: partial 16S ribosomal RNA
Rfam family: Bacterial small subunit ribosomal RNA
Source: RNAcentral
CGUAGGUGGUUUGAUAAGCGAGAUGUGAAAGCCCCGGGCUUAACCUGGGAACGGCAUUUCGAACUGUCAGGCUAGAGUGUGGUAGAGGGUAGUGGAAUUUCCUGUGUAGCGGUGAAAUGCGUAGAUAUAGGAAGGAACACCAGUGGCGAAGGCGACUACCUGGACCAACACUGACACUGAGGUGCGAAAGCGUGGGGAGCAAACA